Molecule: microRNA, 23 nt
Filed under: Gallus gallus (chicken)
Lineage: Eukaryota; Metazoa; Chordata; Aves; Galliformes; Phasianidae
Description: gga-miR-3064-3p
Source: miRBase by way of RNAcentral
UUGCCACACUGCAACACUUUACA